AGCGAACGCUGGCGGCAGGCUUAACACAUGCAAGUCGAGCGGGCAUCCUUGUGGUGUCCGCGGCAGACGGGUGAGUAACGCGUGGGAACGUGCCCUUCGGUUCGGAAUAACUCAGGGAAACUUGAGCUAAUACCGGAUACGUGCGAGAGCAGAAAGGUUUAUCUGCCGAAGGAUCGGCCCGCGUCUGAUUAGCUAGUUGGUGAGGUUAUGGCUCACCAAGGCGACGAUCAGUAGCUGGUCUGAGAGGAUGAUCAGCCACACUGGGACUGAGACACGGCCCAGACUCCUACGGGAGGCAGCAGUGGGGAAUAUUGGACAAUGGGGGCAACCCUGAUCCAGCCAUGCCGCGUGAGUGAUGACGGCCUUAGGGUUGUAAAGCUCUUUUCUUCGGGACGAUAAUGACGGUACCGGAGGAAUAAGCCCCGCCUAACUUCGUG
This 437-nucleotide ribosomal RNA is filed under the name uncultured bacterium. RNAcentral describes it as "partial 16S ribosomal RNA". It matches the Rfam family "Bacterial small subunit ribosomal RNA", at positions 29 to 507 of the family's 1533-position model. The record is from RNAcentral.